GAGCUUACUAUUGCAAUCACAAUUACAUAUCCUGAUCUGUUUCAGAACGGUCUGUGGUCGUUUUAAAAUGCCCAGAAUGUGUUGGUUUUGAUGGAGUUGCCCACAGUGUUUUGUGGUUACCUCUCAAUGGCCACAAAGCGAAAUAAUGGUGAGCGUUGGUGUUUGGUCAUUUGGAACUGGCCAUGAUGCAUUGUGGCUGUUUUUUUUUAUCAUUGCGAGAUUUUGGUGUUUGGGCAUAAUAUGUAUGUAUAUAUAUAUAUCAAUAAAACUAGAGAGCAUGAUACUUUUGCAUCUUGGCUGUCAUUUUGAUUUUUCUAAUUUUGUAGCAGACAACAGAAGUUUUCUUACAAUCCAGUUGCAUUAUAUUGAAUAAUUUAAUAAU
RNAcentral lists this long non-coding RNA (382 nucleotides) under Androctonus crassicauda. Lineage: Eukaryota; Metazoa; Arthropoda; Arachnida; Scorpiones; Buthidae. The record is from RNAcentral.